RNAcentral lists this non-coding RNA (22 nucleotides) under Arabidopsis thaliana (thale cress). The record is from RNAcentral. Lineage: Eukaryota; Viridiplantae; Streptophyta; Magnoliopsida; Brassicales; Brassicaceae.
GUUACUUGUGUCUUGUUUCUCA